This 444-nucleotide ribosomal RNA is filed under the name uncultured bacterium. RNAcentral's name for it is "bacterial SSU rRNA". It matches the Rfam family "Bacterial small subunit ribosomal RNA", at positions 30 to 476 of the family's 1533-position model. The record is from RNAcentral.
AUUGAACGCUGGCGGCAUGCCUAACACAUGCAAGUCGAACGGGGGUUUUCGGACCCUAGUGGCGGACGGGUGAGUAACGCGUAGGAAUCUGCCUGAUAGAGGGGGACAACCUGGGGAAACUCAGGCUAAUACCGCAUAAUCUCGCGAGAGGAAAGCGGGGGAUCUUCGGACCUCGCGCUAUGAGAGGAGCCUACGUCCGAUUAGCUAGUUGGUAGGGUAAAGGCCUACCAAAGCGACGAUCGGUAGCUGGUCUGAGAGGAUGAUCAGCCACACUGGGACUGAGACACGGCCCAGACUCCUACGGGAGGCAGCAGUGGGGAAUAUUGGACAAUGGGCGCAAGCCUGAUCCAGCAAUGCCGCGUGGGUGAAGAAGGCCUGCGGGUUGUAAAGCCCUUUAGGUGGGGAAGAAAUAUGGGGUGCGAACAGUGCCUUUAUUUUGACAUU